Molecule: ribosomal RNA, 430 nt
Filed under: Pseudomonadota bacterium
Lineage: Bacteria; Pseudomonadati; Pseudomonadota
Description: Proteobacteria bacterium partial 16S ribosomal RNA
Rfam family: Bacterial small subunit ribosomal RNA
Source: RNAcentral
UGGGGAAUAUUGGACAAUGGGGGGAACCCUGAUCCAGCCAUGCCGCGUGUGUGAAGAAGGCCUUAUGGUUGUAAAGCACUUUAAGCGAGGAGGAGGGUACUGGUAUUAAUACUACCAGGUACUGGACGUUACUCGCAGAAUAAGCACCGGCUAACUCUGUGCCAGCAGCCGCGGUAAUACAGAGGGUGCGAGCGUUAAUCGGAUUUACUGGGCGUAAAGCGUGCGUAGGCGGCUAAUUGAGUCGGAUGUGAAAUCCCCGAGCUUAACUUGGGAAUUGCAUUGGAUACUGGUUAGCUAGAGUGUGGGAGAGGAUGGUAGAAUUCCAGGUGUAGCGGUGAAAUGCGUAGAGAUCUGGAGGAAUACCGAUGGCGAAGGCAGCCAUCUGGCCUAACACUGACGCUGAGGUACGAAAGCAUGGGGAGCAAACAGG